This 484-nucleotide ribosomal RNA is filed under the name uncultured bacterium. RNAcentral describes it as "partial 16S ribosomal RNA". It matches the Rfam family "Bacterial small subunit ribosomal RNA", at positions 28 to 523 of the family's 1533-position model. The record is from RNAcentral.
GAUGAACGCUGGCGGCGUGCUUAACACAUGCAAGUCGAACGGUGAAGCAGGAGCUUGCUCUCGUGGAUCAGUGGCGAACGGGUGAGUAACACGUGAGCAACCUGCCCCUGACUCUGGGAUAAGCGCUGGAAACGGCGUCUAACACUGGAUAUGUGAUGUGACCGCAUGGUCUGCAUCUGGAAAGAAUUUCGGUUGGGGAUGGGCUCGCGGCCUAUCAGCUUGUUGGUGAGGUAAUGGCUCACCAAGGCGUCGACGGGUAGCCGGCCUGAGAGGGUGACCGGCCACACUGGGACUGAGACACGGCCCAGACUCCUACGGGAGGCAGCAGUGGGGAAUAUUGCACAAUGGGCGGAAGCCUGAUGCAGCGACGCCUCGUGAGGGACGAAGGUCUUCGGAUUGUAAACCUCUUUCAGCAGGGACGAAGCGAAAGUGACGGUACCUGCAGAAGAAGCACCGGCUAACUAUGUGCCAGCAGCCGCCGUAA